AUGGCAAUCCUCAGAAGGAGCAGGAACGCCCUGUGCUUGGUGGCCCUAGUGAUCAUGGCUACCUGCACCGUUCUGUCAUCAGCUAAUGGACCGCCUGGUACAAUCAAUUGCAUGCCGCCGACUGGCAGCUGCGACCCGGCGCACUGCACUAAAUUUUGCGCGCCGAACUAUCAUGGUCAUUGCGCGGUGGGCGGCAUAGGGGCCCCAUCUUGUUGCUGCUACAAUCCGACGAGUGCGUCAGUUGGGGUGGCUCACCCUGCUGCACCCUCACAUGCAUGA
This 279-nucleotide ribosomal RNA is filed under the name Triticum aestivum (bread wheat). RNAcentral describes it as "partial small subunit ribosomal RNA". Lineage: Eukaryota; Viridiplantae; Streptophyta; Magnoliopsida; Poales; Poaceae. The record is from RNAcentral.